GCGUGCCUAACACAUGCAAGUCACGGGGGCCCGCAAGGGCAACCGGCGAACGGGUGCGUAACACGUGAGCAAUCUGCCGUUUUCUGGGGGAUAGCCGGCCCAACGGCCGGGUAAUACCGCAUACGCUCAUCGGGGGACAUCCCCUGGUGAGGAAACCUCCGGGGGAAAACGAGGAGCUCGCGACCUAUCAGCUAGUUGGCGGGGUAACGGCCCACCAAGGCGACGACGGGUAGCUGGUCUGAGAGGAUGGCCAGCCACAUUGGGACUGCGACACGGCCCAGACUCCUACGGGAGGCAGCAGUGGGGAAUAUUGCGCAAUGGACGAAAGUCUGACNCANCGACGCCGCGUGUGGGAUGAAGCUCUUCGGGGUGUAAACCACUGUUGCCCGGGACGAAUNUCCUCCUUCAGGAGGAUUGACGGUACCGGGUGAGGAAGCACCGGCUAACUCUGUGCCA
RNAcentral lists this ribosomal RNA (456 nucleotides) under uncultured bacterium. Its description in RNAcentral is "bacterial SSU rRNA". It matches the Rfam family "Bacterial small subunit ribosomal RNA", at positions 42 to 510 of the family's 1533-position model. The record is from RNAcentral.